GAUUGAACGCUGGCGGCAGGCCUAACACAUGCAAGUCGAACGGUAACAGGAAGCAGCUUGCUGCUUYGCUGACGAGUGGCGGACGGGUGAGUAAUGUCUGGGGAUCUGCCUGAUGGAGGGGGAUAACUACUGGAAACGGUAGCUAAUACCGCAUAACGUCGCAAGACCAAAGAGGGGGACCUUCGGGCCUCUUGCCAUCAGAUGAACCCAGAUGGGAUUAGCUAGUAGGUGGGGUAACGGCUCACCUAGGCGACGAUCCCUAGCUGGUCUGAGAGGAUGACCAGCCACACUGGAACUGAGACACGGUCCAGACUCCUACGGGAGGCAGCAGUGGGGAAUAUUGCACAAUGGGCGCAAGCCUGAUGCAGCCAUGCCGCGUGUAUGAAGAAGGCCUUCGGGUUGUAAAGUACUUUCAGCGAGGAGGAAGGUGGUAAGGUUAAUAACCUUAUCRAUUGACGUUACUCGCAGAAGAAGCACCGGCUAACUCCGU
RNAcentral lists this ribosomal RNA (490 nucleotides) under Enterobacteriaceae bacterium 'ARUP UnID 321'. Its description in RNAcentral is "bacterial SSU rRNA". It matches the Rfam family "Bacterial small subunit ribosomal RNA", at positions 27 to 506 of the family's 1533-position model. Lineage: Bacteria; Pseudomonadati; Pseudomonadota; Gammaproteobacteria; Enterobacterales; Enterobacteriaceae. The record is from RNAcentral.